UACCGGCAGCUCGAGUGAUGUCCCAUAUUAUUGGGCCUAAAGCGUCCGUAGCUGGCCAACCAAGUCCAUCGGGAAAUCCACCCGCCCAACGGGUGGGCGUCCGGUGGAAACUGGCUGGCUUGGAACCGGAAGGCUCAGAGAGUACGUCCGGGGUAGGAGUGAAAUCCCGUAAUCCCGGACGGACUACCGAUGGCGAAAGCACUCUGAGAAGACGGCUUCGACAGUGAGGGACGAAAGCUAGGGUCUCAAA
This 250-nucleotide ribosomal RNA is filed under the name uncultured Halobacteria archaeon. RNAcentral's name for it is "partial 16S ribosomal RNA". It matches the Rfam family "Archaeal small subunit ribosomal RNA", at positions 474 to 723 of the family's 1478-position model. Lineage: Archaea; Methanobacteriati; Methanobacteriota; Halobacteria. The record is from RNAcentral.